This 253-nucleotide ribosomal RNA is filed under the name uncultured bacterium. RNAcentral describes it as "partial 16S ribosomal RNA". It matches the Rfam family "Bacterial small subunit ribosomal RNA", at positions 524 to 776 of the family's 1533-position model. The record is from RNAcentral.
GACGUAGGGCGCGAGCGUUGUCCGGAAUUAUUGGGCGUAAAGAGCUCGUAGGCGGUCUGUCGCGUCGGCUGUGAAAUCCCGAGGCUCAACCUCGGGUCUGCAGUCGAUACGGGCAAACUAGAGUAUUGCAGGGGAGACUGGAAUUCCUGGUGUAGCGGUGAAAUGCGCAGAUAUCAGGAGGAACACCGGUGGCGAAGGCGGGUCUCUGGGCAAUAACUGACGCUGAGGAGCGAAAGCGUGGGGAGCGAACAGG